Molecule: ribosomal RNA, 486 nt
Filed under: uncultured bacterium
Lineage: Bacteria
Description: partial 16S ribosomal RNA
Rfam family: Bacterial small subunit ribosomal RNA
Source: RNAcentral
AUUGAACGCUGGCGGCAUGCCUUACACAUGCAAGUCGAACGGCAGCACGGGUGCUUGCACCUGGUGGCGGGUGGCGAACGGGUGAGUAAUACAUCGGAACAUGUCCUGUAGUGGGGGAUAGCCCGGCGAAAGCCGGAUUAAUACCGCAUACGAUCCACGGAUGAAAGCGGGGGACCUUCGGGCCUCGCGCUAUAGGGUUGGCCGAUGGCUGAUUAGCUAGUUGGUGGGGUAAAGGCCUACCAAGGCGACGAUCAGUAGCUGGUCUGAGAGGACGACCAGCCACACUGGGACUGAGACACGGCCCAGACUCCUACGGGAGGCAGCAGUGGGGAAUUUUGGACAAUGGGCGAAAGCCUGAUCCAGCAAUGCCGCGUGUGUGAAGAAGGCCUUCGGGUUGUAAAGCACUUUUGUCCGGAAAGAAAUCCUUGGCUCUAAUACAGUCGGGGGAUGACGGUACCGGAAGAAUAAGCACCGGCUAACUACGUG